RNAcentral lists this ribosomal RNA (500 nucleotides) under uncultured beta proteobacterium. Its description in RNAcentral is "bacterial SSU rRNA". It matches the Rfam family "Bacterial small subunit ribosomal RNA", at positions 8 to 505 of the family's 1533-position model. Lineage: Bacteria; Pseudomonadati; Pseudomonadota; Betaproteobacteria. The record is from RNAcentral.
AGAGUUUGAUCCUGGCUCAGAUUGAACGCUGGCGGCAUGCCUUACACAUGCAAGUCGAACGGUAACGCGGGGCAACCUGGCGACGAGUGGCGAACGGGUGAGUAAUGCAUCGGAACGUGCCCAGUAGUGGGGGAUAGCCCGGCGAAAGCCGGAUUAAUACCGCAUACGACCUACGGGUGAAAGGGGGGGAUCGCAAGACCUCUCGCUAUUGGAGCGGCCGAUGUCAGAUUAGCUAGUUGGUGGGGUAAAAGCCUACCAAGGCGACGAUCUGUAGCUGGUCUGAGAGGACGACCAGCCACACUGGGACUGAGACACGGCCCAGACUCCUACGGGAGGCAGCAGUGGGGAAUUUUGGACAAUGGGCGAAAGCCUGAUCCAGCCAUGCCGCGUGCGGGAAGAAGGCCUUCGGGUUGUAAACCGCUUUUGUCAGGGAAGAAAUCCUUUGGGCUAAUACCCCUGGGGGAUGACGGUACCUGAAGAAUAAGCACCGGCUAACUACG